Long non-coding RNA from Myotis myotis, 1249 nucleotides. RefSeq lists it as uncharacterized. The transcript has 4 exons. NCBI's taxonomy places the organism in Eukaryota, Metazoa, Chordata, Mammalia, Chiroptera, Vespertilionidae. The record is from RefSeq and is a predicted model, not a curated record.
UCAAUUGUGCAUUCCAUACCCCCUGGCCAGCGACUCCCCGAGAGAAAUGGUCGAGUAAGUGCCUUUCUAGACAUCCACGGUCUGUGAACCUCUAGUUUGAAGUUUUCCCAGGAAUCCCUAGAGAAUGUUCUCCACCAAAAUGAGAGGAUAAGCAAAGAGCGAGGAAGACCUGGGAUCCAGGAGGACAAGCGGAGACUUCACAGAGAAGUCGAAACGCCAGCCCCAGCCACAGGCCUGGAUGGGGAGAGAAUGGCUGGGAAAUGCCCAGAAGGAAACAAGCAAAGAAAGGCAGGUAGCCACACAAAAUGAUGUGCAGUUUUCUGCGAAGUGACAUCUGUUAAACAGUGAUGUGUGGAGCCUGACACUAGCAGGCCCAGUGGCGAUGCUUCCUCCGGCUCAGAGAGCAGUCCCAGGAGCAGAGCGUGAUGGCCAGCACAGGGCUCCCAGCUGAGCCGCAGGCCAAGUCCAGUGCCGGCCUGGGGGUUCUGUGUGUUUCCCAGGGCAUGGCCAUCGGACGCGGCAGCUGGUCCUGGGCCGUGCCCAGUGCUGUGGAUGGAGGACGGCUCGCGGCCAGGAAAGCACUGCUGUAGCUUCACUAAGACACCCAGGAGGGGCUCCGCGCUGCAGCUUGUCCGGCGGCACAGGAGAGGCGGCAGCGCCAGCCAUGUGUCCUGCGCUGGUCACCGGACCUCCGGGCCCAGAGCUGCGGCUACUCAAGGAAGUGAGCCAUGGGGACAUCACAGCACACGGAGACGCAGGGAGAGCGCACCGCAGCCAGGCCCUGUGAGAACACUCGGCGUUUGCCAACCUCCAUCCAACCUCCCCUUCCUCCUCCAGCCCCUUCCAACACCCGGCUUUUCGCUGAAGGAUCUGUAUUUCUUCUGCAUCAUGAAACACUGGGUGCUGAGCAGGCCACGCGCCCACCGGCGGGGAGAGAAUAAUCUCAUCCACAGCGAGUGCUCAUGAUAGAAGCCGCGGGCUCUGGAGUCACUCAGGCCCGGGGCCCAGAAGCAGGAGUGCUCCGGCCGGGCCUUCCCCAGGGGGACUGCGCACCCGCCGUAACCAGCACACCUGCCUCAGCUCCUCUCAGACCCAUCCCAGCGUCUUCCAUCCCACACCCCCACACGACUACUGGGCCUGCGCUCACCCCGCUUUCUACAGCCUCUUUGUGUGUAGGGUGUGUGUGGGCGGGGGUUGCAGGGGCGUGUGUGUGGUGGUGUGUGUGUGUGUGAUGUGUGUAUAUGUUGUG